This 253-nucleotide unclassified non-coding RNA is filed under the name uncultured Oligoflexaceae bacterium. RNAcentral's name for it is "contains 16S-23S intergenic spacer region". It matches the Rfam family "Bacterial small subunit ribosomal RNA", at positions 524 to 776 of the family's 1533-position model. Lineage: Bacteria; Pseudomonadati; Bdellovibrionota; Oligoflexia; Oligoflexales; Oligoflexaceae. The record is from RNAcentral.
UACGGAGGGUGCAAGCGUUGUUCGGAAUUACUGGGCGUAAAGCGCGCGCAGGCGGGUUCGUAAGCCAAUUGUGAAAGCCCGGGGCUCAACCUCGGAGUUGCAGUUGGAACUGCGAAUCUUGAAUACCUGAGAGGAUGAGGGAAUUCCUGGAGUAGAAGUGAAAUUCGUAGAUAUCAGGAGGAACACCCGAGGCGAAGGCGCUCAUCUGGCAGUGUAUUGACGCUGAGGCGCGAAAGCGUGGGUAGCAAACAGG